UUAUCCAUUUUAGACAAUCUAGAUUAUUGUUACUGAAAUCAUGAUCAUGGCAUGCUCAACUCUUACUCUUGAGUCGUCUUGACUCAUAAUUCUAAUUCUAGUCAUAAGGCGAUAAGGUAAAACAAUGUUGAAGUUCUCCAUUUUGAAUGAGUCUAUCAUUUAGUCUAUGCUUCUUACCAUCUGGGACAUCUUUAUAUUAUGAUCUCUUUGAUUUGGUUUGGUCAAUACUUACCAAUAAAUUAGACUAGAUGUAGAUUUGUCUAUUAAUAAUAAUAAUAAUAAUCUUUAUUAUCCGUAAGGAAAUUUGUCUUACAAUUUGUGCAUUACACCAAACAAAAAACAUUAUAACUAUAAGAAACCAAAGUGUACAUUCACACCAGACUCACUCAUAAUUUACAUGUGACAAAGUUUAUACCAGAUUGUUCUUAUUUAAUGAUUUGAUUGCCAGGGGAACAAAAGAGUGUUUGUGUCUGUUUGUCUUUGCUAUCGGUGUCUUGUAUCUCUUUUGUGAUGGUAAAAUCACAAAGUCCUGACACAAAGGGUGAUUCUUUAUAAUUUAUUUCGAGGAUCUUGUUAGCUUUUUUAUAGAUGUUUGUCUCAAACAACUGCCCAAAUGGGGUUUGUUUUUUGCCAAUGAUUUUGCCAGCAGCAUUUAGGAUUCUAUUAAGUUUAUUUUUAUUUUUAAUGCUCAGAUUGCCAUACCAGGCAGUGAUAUUGAAACUUAAAAUAUUGCAGAUGUGAGCGUGAUAAAACAUAGCCAAGGCCUUUUCGCUAACAUUAAACGAGGACAGUUUUCUUAGUAGUCGUAAUCUUUGCUGCCCUUUUUUGCUGAUAUAAUCAGUAUUUGCAGUAAAAUUUAGUUUAUUGUCUAGGAUAGUACCAAGGUAUUUAAAGGUUUGCACAAUUUCAAUAGUCUCUCCAGCUACAGAAACAAUAUCAUUUCCCUUCUUGUCCCUACGAAAAUCGAUUAUCAUUUCUUUGUUUUUUUUUACAUUUAAUAAUAAAAAAUUAUCUUUACAGUAUUCCUCAAUGUGUUCUAGUUCUUUGAAAUUCUCAUUUACGUCUGAGCUCUCUGAGAGCAGGGCAAGAAGAGCCGCAUCAUCAGCGAAUUUUGUGAAGGAGCAACAAUAACUAUCGGAUUGAAAAUCAUUGGUGUACAAAAUGAACCACAAUGGCGAUGUUACAGCCCCCUGGGGCGCCCCUGUGUUAACUAUGCGUUCAUUAGAUAUAACUAGAUACUUCGAUUUUCCGGUCGCGCGAGAUUUUUUUGGUUACCGGAACCGGUAGUAUUCGUGCGGCAGUAUUUAAGCCGAAAGCAGUGGUAAUUUCGUUCCAGUCUGGUUUUGUCUUCAAAAUCAGACACCAAAGGAUAAUCGGAGCCCUUUGUUUGUUCAAGGAUCGGAUAUCAGUUAAUUCUUUGGAUUUAUAUCAGUGCUUUUCUAUCGUCUUCAUGGAGUUCCAGCGUGUUGAGCAUAGGGGUAAGUUGACCAUCCAUAGUUUUUUUAUUAUUCUAAUAAGCAUAGUUAUUUAAGUCAUCCCAAGUACCUUAAUAUCUAAUCUAACUAUUUUUGUUCAUAUUAUCGCAAUAAGUGUUCCACUUUUUUAGUAAAAACGGACCCACUGCAUCAGGUAUCUUGGCUAGAAAACGAAACUAGCCGCCAUUACUAACCGGAAAUGAUAGAUUCAAUGGUUAUCAAUGGCUGCAUAGCUUUUUUGUUAGAUCGAUUUUUUUAAAAUCCAUCAUCAAGAACAGUUUUAUUUAGUCAUCCGUGAUUUUGAAUAUAAUGUGGGCGUGGCAGGCCUUGAUGUCGAUGUUGUUGACAAUAAGUUUUGAAGGCAUAUGUCCGAGGUGAAGAACUUUUGUAGGAAGAUUACCCGCAGCUGGCACCUAUUUGCACCUUACUUGGAUAAAAAAAUUUCUAUCGAUGCUGCUGGCAAAAAGACACCUAUCCAAGACAGCACUGAACGACCUAGUAUGGUGAAGAAGUUGCGACCUGAAGGUGAUGUUGAGGCUACUGAAAGGCAGGUAACACAGAACAACACUGUGCUUGUUGUUGCAGAAAAGCGGUUAGUCUUUUAAGGGCUUUUUGGCAAGAUGUUGACUGGACCGUGGAUGACACUGAUCUACAAAAUGAAAGAUGAAACAUUUUAAAGAUACCAUUUAUGCAGCUAUUAUAUUUAUUCUCUUGUUUUCUAGAUCUCUCAUGUGAAGGUCUGCAUUGACAAACUAAAGGCCAUUGUGGAUUCUCCAGAGAAUCUCCUUUCAAUACUAAUUGAUUGCUUUGGCCAGACUCUGGAUACUGAAGAUCUCGUUCUGAAAACCCUGAGAAAUGUGACUGUUGAUGAAGUAUUUAUCGAGAUCACUAAAGAACUUGCUGAAGGUUUUUGUAAGGUGCUACAGAGACAGUACUUCAAUUGAUAAUUUCCAACUACAAACAAAUCCAUUAUGUGCUUACCCAUCAAAUAGUUAGAUAUAUUUUAUUUUAAGGGAACAUGUUGCAUAUCUGGGAUAUUUAUUUAAUGUGAAAAAUAUAAUUUCACAAUCCAGCUGAUAAUUGUGCUAUGAACCAUUUAUAUUAAGUCUUGAUAAUUUUACCUUUUCAGCAAGCCUACAUUGGUAUGCAUUAAAAUUAUUUAUUCUAUUUCAGCAAAACAGAUAGGGUACACCCAAACAAUGUUCAUCUUCAAACAAUCAUGCAUGAUCCUCGCAAGCUUUGGAUACUGACGUACAUUUGCAAACGCACUCAGACUGAUGACAUCAAGAAAUCUAUAUUUGUUAUUUACAUUAUAU
This is a long non-coding RNA of Biomphalaria glabrata, 2791 nucleotides long. RefSeq lists it as uncharacterized. The record is from RefSeq and is a predicted model, not a curated record. NCBI's taxonomy places the organism in Eukaryota, Metazoa, Mollusca, Gastropoda, Planorbidae. The transcript has 3 exons.